Molecule: ribosomal RNA, 55 nt
Filed under: Symbiodinium sp. clade A
Lineage: Eukaryota; Dinophyceae; Suessiales; Symbiodiniaceae
Description: partial 5.8S ribosomal RNA
Source: RNAcentral
GUGCAUUGCGCUCUUGGGAUAUGCCUGAGAGCAUGUCUGCUUCAGUGCUUCUACU